Molecule: ribosomal RNA, 407 nt
Filed under: uncultured bacterium
Lineage: Bacteria
Description: partial 16S ribosomal RNA
Rfam family: Bacterial small subunit ribosomal RNA
Source: RNAcentral
AUUGAACGCUGGCGGCAGGCCUAACACAUGCAAGUCGAGCGGAGCGGCGGACGGGCGAGUAAUGCCUAGGUAUCUGCCUGGUAGUGGGGGAUAACGUCCGGAAACGGGCGCUAAUACCGCAUACUAUCAGAUGAGUCUAGGUCGGAUUAGCUAGCUGGUGGGGUAAAGGCAUACCAAGGCGACGAUCCGUAACUGGUCUGAGAGGAUGAUCAGUCACACUGGAACUGAGACACGGUCCAGACUCCUACGGGAGGCAGCAGUGGGGAAUAUUGGACAAUGGGCGCAAGCCUGAUCCAGCCAUGCCGCGUGUGUGAAGAAGGUCUUCGGAUUGUAAAGCACUUUCAGCGGGGAGGCGUUACCCGCAGAAGAAGCACCGGCUAACUCCGUGCCAGCAGCCGCGGUAAUUC